AUUUUUUAGAAUUAAUUAAAAAUAAGUUCUGCUCAGUGCUUUAGUAAAUAGCCGCAGUAUUUUGACUGUGCAAAGGUAGCAUAAUAAUUAGUCUUGUAAUUUAAGACUGGAAUGAAAGAAUAAACGAGAUAAGUCUUUUCUUAGUUAUUAUUUUUGAACUUUACUUUUUAGUAAGAAGGCUAAAAUACUCCCUUAAGACAAGAAGACCCUAUAAAGCUUUACACAAAACAAUUUAAUAAAUUAAUAAUGUGUUUUACUGGGGCGGUAGAAAGAAAAACACUUUUAUAUUAAAAAGAUGAAACAGUCUUUAUACCCAAAAAUUUUGAAAAUUAAAUAAGUUACUUUAGGGAUAACAGCGUUAUACAUCUAGAAAGCUCAAAUUGACAGGUGUGUUUGCGACCUCGAUGUUGGAUUAGACUACCUUUAUCGCGCAAGAGCGAUAUGAGGGGGUCUGUUCGACCUUUAAAAGUCUCCA
Molecule: ribosomal RNA, 475 nt
Filed under: Heteroctenus princeps
Lineage: Eukaryota; Metazoa; Arthropoda; Arachnida; Scorpiones; Buthidae
Description: partial 16S ribosomal RNA
Rfam family: Archaeal large subunit ribosomal RNA
Source: RNAcentral